GAGAGGGCAUGACAACAGGUAGAACUGCUAAUUCACCACGCCCGAGGUUAAACUCCCCGGACCACUCA
This 68-nucleotide transfer RNA is filed under the name Quedenfeldtia trachyblepharus (Atlas day gecko). RNAcentral's name for it is "tRNA-Ser". The record is from RNAcentral. Lineage: Eukaryota; Metazoa; Chordata; Lepidosauria; Squamata; Sphaerodactylidae.